RNAcentral lists this ribosomal RNA (270 nucleotides) under Lysinibacillus sphaericus. Its description in RNAcentral is "partial 16S ribosomal RNA". It matches the Rfam family "Bacterial small subunit ribosomal RNA", at positions 1 to 260 of the family's 1533-position model. Lineage: Bacteria; Bacillati; Bacillota; Bacilli; Caryophanales; Bacillaceae. The record is from RNAcentral. RNAcentral also lists the same sequence under 1 other name.
UUUAUCGGAGAGUUUGAUCCUGGCUCAGGACGAACGCUGGCGGCGUGCCUAAUACAUGCAAGUCGAGCGGACAGAUGGGAGCUUGCUCCCUGAUGUUAGCGGCGGACGGGUGAGUAACACGUGGGUAACCUGCCUGUAAGACUGGGAUAACUCCGGGAAACCGGGGCUAAUACCGGAUGGUUGUUUGAACCGCAUGGUUCAAACAUAAAAGGUGGCUUCGGCUACCACUUACAGAUGGACCCGCGGCGCAUUAGCUAGUUGGUGAGGUAA